AUGGCCAUCUACUGCAAACCCCCCAUGACGCAGCCCUAUUUUUGGCCUGCCACAAAGAUCUUCAAGAAACUGCUAAAACCCUACCACCCCACACCCAAUCCAUCGAGCAACGGAGCUGCUGGCAACGGCGACGUACCGUACAGGGGCGGCGAGGCAUCAUCACGACGACGCGAAGGAGCAAGAGGCACAUCACGCAGGCCCCUCCCGAACGGCGCGGACGGCGGCGGCUCAGCGUCCGACGACGUGCUCAUGGAGCCGUCGUCGACGCCGACAAGCAAACGCACUACCUCGGCAGCGACGACGAGCAGAGAGGGUGCGGGAGGGAGGAGACAGGUGCGGGAGGGAGCGACCGGAUGCGGUCCGACCAGGGAAAAGACGAUCUGGAGUAAUAACAAUUUACUUCCACCACAGCAAUCCCGUGCGAUUUCCCAUUCUACCCCUCCGACCGACACGUUUCCCUCUUUCUCGCCCGACGCCACCGACCACUCUCUCCCCACUCACCCCCGCUCUCUCUCCCUCGCGUGCGACGCCCCCGCUUGCCUCUCUCUCGCGCGCGACGCCGGCCACCAGGCGCCUCUCUCUCUCUCGCGCGACGCCGCUCUCUCCCCGUUGAUGCUCCCUCUCUCUCCCUCUCGCCGGCGUCUUGCUCCGCAUCGCCGCUCACCGCUCCCCACCACACAAAGCUGCCAUUUUUAUUUGUCGGCGACGGCUGCUGGGCGAGGAGGAGCUGGAUCCACAUGCGCUGCCCCACCGGCGCCGCUGCCGGUGGUGGGGCACCAGUUCUGCGCGCCCUACGUGGUGCCGCUGACGGUGACCAAGAAGGCGCUCAGCCUCUCCGACGGCGACUUCGCCAUCACCGAUGCCAACGGCGCCGUCGUGCUCAAGGUCAAGGGCGCCAUCUUCAGCAUCCGGAGCUGCCGCACCAUCCACGACGGCGCUGGGAUGCCCCUCCUAACCAUGCAAGAAAAGGUCCCUUCUCCACUACAGCUUUGCUCCUUUGUCUGUCUGUCCAUCUCCCCUGGCCUGGCGCUGCUGAAAUUUCCUCGAUCCAUAGACAUGUCUGCAAGUUCUUUGCGGAAUAGGAUCGUUGACCCGUAG
Molecule: ribosomal RNA, 1098 nt
Filed under: Triticum aestivum (bread wheat)
Lineage: Eukaryota; Viridiplantae; Streptophyta; Magnoliopsida; Poales; Poaceae
Description: partial small subunit ribosomal RNA
Source: RNAcentral